CCAAACAUAUAAUUAAUUUCCCAACUAAAAGUCCAAUAUUUACACAAAAUAGGCCAAAAUUAACCGAGAGCCAUAACUACGCUCAUCAUUGCCUAACUUCGAUAUUCUUAAGUCGAAACGAUCCAAACUUAAAUAUCAUACUCAGCAGCCGUAAUUACAACCUCCCCGAAAAUACGACUUAAAUCCUACGGCUGAAUUCUACAUUAAUUAACCGCCAAAAAUACCAAACUUCGGAAAAUCAUAAACCUAUCCAAAACUCAUCCAAAAAUUCCAUAACUUACAACAAUAUACUCCCCUUAAUAUUCCACAUUUAAAAUUACACAAAACUCCCAAACAGCGGCGGUCGGAGGCCGAUUCCGGCGACCUCCAAUUCCUAUGAAAAUUGAAUAGCAUCUUCCUCUCAACAUCCCAAACAACUUUCAUAACUAUCACUAAGUCCAAUUUCAAGCCUAAAUAGGGUAAUCGAAACCAAACAUAUCAAGAAAACCCUAAGAAAUUCAAACACCCGAUUCUCCUUACCUAGCUCGAGUUAGGAUGAAUCCUUUUAGGGGUUUGCUGCUGGAAGAGAGAGCGUCCAAAUGAUACCAACAGCUCCGGCUAUGGUGGCCGGAAAAAGGAUUUUCCGGCGAAAACCCCGCCACGCACAGCAGCGGCUUCUCGGCAUGAUUUCUUCUUCACGGUGGCGCGGCACGGGCUGCCACCUAUCUAAACUUGUAGAGGAUGCUCCAAGCUUCAAAUCGACACCAAGCACGCCUCCUAUCUCGGCCGGACGGCGGCGGACGGUGGCCGGAAAGUUUCCGGGUCGGGAGAGCUCGGGGAUGAGGCCGGGAGGGAGAGAAGAGAAAGGGAAAAGAGAGGGCUGGGCUUUGACCACUUCUUGGCCCGGUCCAACACUCUUAAACAACCCAACUCCAAAAUAAAACACCCCGAAAAAUAAUACCCGAAUAAAAAUUACCUUUUACUAGCUAAAAUUUACCAUUUUUACCGUCAUCAUAAUUUUCUCCUACAAAUAAUCAUCCGCAUAUAAUCGUCCCCGAAACCCCUCUAGGGACCAAUUAAACCAUUACCUCGAUGACGGAGACGGUAAAAUUCUUAUUAUAACCAAGCUAGUAAAU
Molecule: long non-coding RNA, 1115 nt
Filed under: Fragaria vesca (wild strawberry)
Lineage: Eukaryota; Viridiplantae; Streptophyta; Magnoliopsida; Rosales; Rosaceae
Description: long non-coding RNA (FVES_LNC003976)
Source: RNAcentral